RNAcentral lists this ribosomal RNA (493 nucleotides) under uncultured bacterium. Its description in RNAcentral is "bacterial SSU rRNA". It matches the Rfam family "Bacterial small subunit ribosomal RNA", at positions 36 to 518 of the family's 1533-position model. The record is from RNAcentral.
CUGGCGGCAGGCCUAACACAUGCAAGUCGAACGGUAACAGGAAGCAGCUUGCUGCUUGCUGACGAGUGGCGGACGGGUGAGUAAUGUCUGGGAAACUGCCCGAUGGAGGGGGAUAACUACUGGAAACGGUAGCUAAUACCGCAUAAUGUCGCAAGACCAAAGAGGGGGACCUUCGGGCCUCUUGCCAUCGGAUGUGCCCAGAUGGGAUUAGCUUGUUGGUGAGGUAACGGCUCACCAAGGCGACGAUCCCUAGCUGGUCUGAGAGGAUGACCAGCCACACUGGAACUGAGACACGGUCCAGACUCCUACGGGAGGCAGCAGUGGGGAAUAUUGCACAAUGGGCGCAAGCCUGAUGCAGCCAUUGCCGCGUGUAUGAAGAAGGCCUUCGGGUUGUAAAGUACUUUCAGCGGGGAGGAAGGGGUUAAGGUUAAUAACCUUAGCCAUUGACGUUACCCGCAGAAGAAGCACCGGCUAACUCCGUGCCAGCAGCCGC